RNAcentral lists this long non-coding RNA (1158 nucleotides) under Fukomys damarensis (Damara mole-rat). RNAcentral's name for it is "lncRNA (ENSFDAG00000032155.1)". The record is from RNAcentral. Lineage: Eukaryota; Metazoa; Chordata; Mammalia; Rodentia; Bathyergidae.
GGGGAGGUGGAGGCAGGCUGAAAGGCAGGGAGGGGACAAGCAAGGCUGUGGGUGAGGGGGACCGUUCUGGAACACGGAUGUCGGGAGGAUUCCAGACAGGUCAGCAGAGGUAGGAAAAGAAAGAAGGGCUGGAAACGUGAGCGGCCACCAUAUGUGCACACGCUCAUACACGCAGUGCUUGCAACAUACCAUUAAAAUAGAGGGAGAAACGUUCUGGUUUCCCUAGCAACAAGGCCUAUUGGUGCCUCAGCCAGAGAAACUUAUUGGGGGGGGGAAGACGUUUGCCUGUUAAGGAGCCUGAUGAAUCGGAAGAUAAUUAUACAGCGUUCUGCCAUCGCUAAGGACACAAAUACGCUCCAGAAAAUAUUUUAAAGAGCACAGAUUGCCACAAAUCCCACGAAGGCAGGGGUGGGGUCGAGAGACAGCAGGCAGGGAAAAAAGACUACUGGAGUGAGUCUAGGUGAACACCCAGAGGGGCCGGCAAGUGUGAGGGACUGACCGGAACUGGGGGCUAUGCCGGUCACGUGACGUCUACUGCAAGACAAAGCUGGACAUACUCGUUCUCAAUUCUCAGGGCCCGCACAUGGAGUCCUUUAAGAAUAGGAUGUGGGGUGGAGUUUUGAGAACGCGGUAAGACUUCUGCAUGAGAGAAGAAGGCAGGCCAGGCAGCAAGUAGAGCCUGAACAGCGACAAAACAGUGAGCGAUUUCACAGCGUUUGGGAGAGCUGCUGCGGACACAAUACAGCAGGUCUGCACAAUCUUUCAGAUGGAUGGAAAUAUCAAAGGACAAACACAAGACAGGGUGAUGUUUGCAAAUGGAGACCUGUGCAAAGUGCAACUGGGUGCAUCUGUGGUGUCUGGAGAAUUCCAGGAUUGUUGUGAAGAUCAAAUAAAACAAUAAAUGAACAAGUUUUCUGUUAAUGAAUUCAGUGGCCACAUAAUGGAGUUAGUGGCUUCCAUUGUUCAUUUAAUCUGCACUAUACUCCAGUGCCGUGGACAUGGCAGGCUUCAUCUGAAAACAUGAGCCCAGGACAUAUUCAGUGACUUGCUAAAACUCAACAGCCACUGCACAAGAGAGCCAGGAUUCAAAACGGAGCUUCCUGACUGUAAGUGCUUUUCUCACUAUUAUGAUGAAUCAUAUGAAAUAGUUAUGUUUGU